UUAGGGGGUUUCCGCCCCUUAGUGCUGCAGCUAACGCAUUAAGCACUCCGCCUGGGGAGUACGACCGCAAGGUUGAAACUCAAAGGAAUUGACGGGGGCCCGCACAAGCGGUGGAGCAUGUGGUUUAAUUCGAAGCAACGCGAAGAACCUUACCAGGUCUUGACAUCCUUUGACCACUCUGGAGACAGAGCUUUCCCUUCGGGGACAAAGUGACAGGUGGUGCAUGGUUGUCGUCAGCUCGUGUCGUGAGAUGUUGGGUUAAGUCCCGCAACGAGCGCAACCCUUGAUUUUAGUUGCCAGCAUUUAGUUGGGCACUCUAAAGUGACUGCCGGUGCAAGCCGGAGGAAGGUGGGGAUGACGUCAAAUCAUCAUGCCCCUUAUGACCUGGGCUACACACGUGCUACAAUGGAUAGUACAAAGGGUCGCGAAGCCGCGAGGUGGAGCUAAUCCCAUAAAACUAUUCUCAGUUCGGAUUGUAGGCUGCAACUCGCCUACAUGAAGCCGGAAUCGCUAGU
RNAcentral lists this ribosomal RNA (515 nucleotides) under Listeria monocytogenes. RNAcentral describes it as "bacterial SSU rRNA". It matches the Rfam family "Bacterial small subunit ribosomal RNA", at positions 823 to 1339 of the family's 1533-position model. Lineage: Bacteria; Bacillati; Bacillota; Bacilli; Caryophanales; Listeriaceae. The record is from RNAcentral.